UGGGGAAUAUUGCACAAUGGGCGCAAGCCUGAUGCAGCCAUGCCGCGUGUGUGAAGAAGGCCUUCGGGUUGUAAAGCACUUUCAGCGGGGAGGAAGGCGAUAAGGUUAAUAACCUUGUCGAUUGACGUUACCCGCAGAAGAAGCACCGGCUAACUCCGUGCCAGCAGCCGCGGUAAUACGGAGGGUGCAAGCGUUAAUCGGAAUUACUGGGCGUAAAGCGCACGCAGGCGGUCUGUCAAGUCGGUUGUGAAAUCCCCGGGCUCAACCUGGGAACUGCAUUCGAAACUGGCAGGCUAGAGUCUUGUAGAGGGGGGGAGAAUUCCAGGUGUAGCGGUGAAAUGCGUAGAGAUCUGGAGGAAUACCGGUGGCGAAGGCGGCCCCCUGGACAAAGACUGACGCUCAGGUGCGAAAGCGUGGGGAGCAAACAGG
RNAcentral lists this ribosomal RNA (429 nucleotides) under Chloroflexota bacterium. RNAcentral's name for it is "Chloroflexi bacterium partial 16S ribosomal RNA". It matches the Rfam family "Bacterial small subunit ribosomal RNA", at positions 355 to 776 of the family's 1533-position model. Lineage: Bacteria; Bacillati; Chloroflexota. The record is from RNAcentral.